This 494-nucleotide ribosomal RNA is filed under the name uncultured bacterium. RNAcentral describes it as "partial 16S ribosomal RNA". It matches the Rfam family "Bacterial small subunit ribosomal RNA", at positions 28 to 507 of the family's 1533-position model. The record is from RNAcentral.
GACGAACGCUGGCGGCGUGCUUAACACAUGCAAGUCGAACGGUGAAGCGCCUUCCUUUUUGGUGGGUGUGGAUGAGUGGCGAACGGGUGAGUAACACGUGAGUAACCUGCCCCCUUCUUCUGGAUAACCGCAUGAAAGUGUGGCUAAUACGGGAUAUUCUGGGUCUGUCGCAUGAUGGGUCUGGGAAAGAUAUUGUUUCGGUGGGGGAUGGGCUCGCGGCCUAUCAGCUUGUUGGUGGGGUGAUGGCCUACCAAGGCGGUGACGGGUAGCCGGCCUGAGAGGGUGGACGGUCACACUGGGACUGAGACACGGCCCAGACUCGUACGGGAGGCAGCAGUGGGGAAUAUUGCACAAUGGGCGCGAGCCUGAUGCAGCGACGCCGCGUGAGGGAUGGAGGCCUUCGGGUUGUGAACCUCUUUCGCCAGUGAAGCAGGCCUGCCUCGUUUGUGGGUGGGUUGACGGUAGCUGGAGAAGAAGCGCCGGCUAACUACGUG